This 828-nucleotide long non-coding RNA is filed under the name Pongo abelii (Sumatran orangutan). RNAcentral's name for it is "lincRNA". The stretch from base 530 to 655 matches the Rfam family "X-chromosome inactivation gene exon 4". Lineage: Eukaryota; Metazoa; Chordata; Mammalia; Primates; Hominidae. The record is from RNAcentral.
AGAUAGCCAAUUAUUAAAAACAGUCAAGACAAUUGCACCUUUAAGCAGUAGUAGCAGUUGCCACACUACCUUGAAUCUUGAAGUAUUUUCAGCAACAGGAUGACCGUUAGCCACAAAUUUAGUGUCAGCCCUUAAGGUCGGUAUUGGUUUGACCCAUAUUUUCAUGUAGUUCUUUUUCUUCACUUGUCUAAUCCUCCCGUGUACUGUCAGGGCUUGUCAUUAGAGGACUUUAGGGAGACCAAGCAGGCUAGAAAGUAGAGACAGGAGAUACCUAUGUCUAAUGCUUCAGUUUAUACUUCCUAGGUUUUUUUUCAUUGGGGUUUUUGUAACUCUUUUGGUAUCCUACCAGUGCUUUGGUAGCCUACUGAACCCUGUCUUUCUUCUUAAGGACAUUCUGAGCAUGUGAGACCUGAGGACUGCAAACAGCUGUCAGAGGCUCCAAAUUCAGCAUAUCUUUCCUUUUGAGAAUCUGGCCAAGCUCCAGCUAAUCUACUUGGAUGGGUUGCCAGCUAUCUGGAGAAAAAGAUCUUCCUCAGAAGAAUAGGCUUGUUGCUUUACAGUGUUAGUGAUCCAUUCCCUUUGACGAUCCCUAGGUGGAGAUGGGGCAUGAGGAUCCUCCAGGGGAAAAGCUCACUACCACUGGGCAACAACCCUAGGUCAGGAGGUUCUGUCAAGAUACUUUCCUGGUCCCAGAUAGGAAGAUAAAGUCUCAAAAACAACCACCACAAGUCAAGCUCUUCAUUGUUCCUAUCUGCCAAAUCAUUAUACUUCCUACAAGCGGUGCGGAGAGCUGAGUCUUCAGCAGGUCCAAGAAAUUUGAACACACUG